ACCAAUUGCGAAGGCAGCUUUCUGGAUCAUUACUGACACUGAGGAACGAAAGCAUGGGUAGCGAAGAGGAUUAGAUACCCUCGUAGUCCAUGCCGUAAACGAUGUGUGUUAGACGUUGGAAAUUUAUUUUCAGUGUCGCAGGGAAGCCGAUAAACACACCGCCUGGGGAGUACGACCGCAAGGUUAAAACUCAAAUGAAUUGACGGGGACCCGCACAAGUAGUGGAGCAUGUGGUUUAAUUCGAAGAUACGCGCAGAACCUUACCAACACUUGACAUGUUCGUCGCGACUCUAAGAGAUUAGAGUUUUCGGUUCGGCCGGACGAAACACAGGUGCUGCAUGGCUGUCGUCAGCUCGUGUCGUGAGAUGUUGGGUUAAGUCCCGCAACGAGCGCAACCCUCACUUUUAGUUGCCAUCAUUAAGUUGGGCACUCUGAAAGAACUGCCAGUGAUAAGCUGGAGGAAGGUGGGGAUGACGUCAAGUCCUCAUGGCCCUUACGUGUUGGGCUACACACGUGCUACAAUGGCAUCUACAACAGGAAGCAAAACGGCAACGUUAAGCAAAUCCCGAAAAGAUGCCUCAGUUCGGAUUGCACUCUGCAACUCGAGUGCAUGAAGCUGGAAUUACUAGUAAUCGUGGAUCAGCGUGCCACGGUGAAUGCGUUCCCGGGUCUUGUACACACCGCCCGUCACGCCAUGGGAGUUGGUUCUACCUUAAGGCAAGGUUUUAAACCCUUGACCACGGUAUAGUCAGCGACUGGGGUGAAGUCGUAACAAGGUAACCGUA
RNAcentral lists this ribosomal RNA (785 nucleotides) under uncultured bacterium. Its description in RNAcentral is "bacterial SSU rRNA". It matches the Rfam family "Bacterial small subunit ribosomal RNA", at positions 708 to 1504 of the family's 1533-position model. The record is from RNAcentral.